UCGAUGAGGAAGGCCCGGUCACCAAGUAACGCGCAAUCGAACAGUUCGCCUUGGUUCAUGUCCCGGAGAAGCUUGGCCCGGCCCGUUUGUUUGUCCAUUCCAUAGCGUGCCAAUAUUGGCGACAAUAAUUUGCAGUGGUAGUUGGAGAGGCCCAUCACCUUUACCAGUUCCGUGUUCUUCUUGGGAGCCCCCGUCACUCCGAGUAGCGCGUUCCGCAGCAGAUUGUGCAGCACUACGUCCGGGUCGGUCACCUCCUCCACUCCCAGCAGCUGUUGCUGCUCGUGCCGCUGUCCGCACUCGGUACACUCGAUGCUGACAGAACCCGAGGCCGGGAAGAAGAGGCGCGCCUGGCACUUGGGAUCCGGGCAACUCCCGGAAAGGAUUCUUCGGUCCCUUCGUUUCGAAAGGCCCCCCGGAGAAGCCGCCGCCGCCAGAGACGACGAAGUCUGCGGAGCCUCAGGGGGAGGCGGCGGCGGCGGCAGCGGAGGAGGCGGCGGCGGCUGAGACAUCGCUCUCGGCUCUCGCUCGGCGUCCCAAGCGACCCUCAAAGGCACAUAGCCAGACCUCCGCCGGCCCGACGAGGUCUAGUCCAGGCCCAGGGCGAAUGGCUUUCCUUUUCCUACCAGUUCCUCCUCCUCCUAGGCGAAGGCGGAAGCGCCGGACGUUGUUUCUCUUCUCACUUCUCCACUGCCUUAGCCGUUGCCCCGAACGUAACGGCCACCACCCCACCCCGCACUCACACUCACUCACUCUCGCUCUCUCCCUCAGACACAGACAUACACGCCCUCACUGAGACUGCGCAGGCGUAGCUUCUGCUCUGCCCUCUGGGAACCAGAGUCUUCCGGCUCCUCUCUCGCGAAGGAGUGCUAGGCGCUUCCGUCCAGAAAGAACUUCAAAUACCGUGAUGCAAAGCGACUCGACGCACGCGGGGAGGAGGAAGAGGAAGGCACUCGGAAGAGGACAAGUGGUGGCUCCAGACUGUCUGAAGACAGGAGUCUGUCAAGUGUCUGCUUUAAGAAAUCAGGUGUGCUGGCUGCUCCUAACUCUCAGAAGAAUGGGGAAGGGAGAUAAAGUUUUAUCACCCAGCUCUGUGGAGGCUUUGGUUGAAGUUCCACUAGUAAAUUGUCAACCUUUCUGCCUCAGAUCAGCAAGCCUUCCCAACACAAGACUUCGCAGAUGACCCUUUCAACAGAUACGAGGACAAUUCAACAGAGGAGUGGAACCUGUGGACAUGGAAGACACUGAAAAUAUACUCCAUCUUCAGAACAGCUGAGACACUAUACAAUUACUAUCUUCACUUUACAGAUGACAGUUUGGAUGUGAACUUGGCAACAUUCCUAGGAAUUCAUAGCUGGUGACAAAAAAAAAAAUAUAGUCAAGGCCAAACAGUGCAUAUAUUUUUCUGUUGUCAUUUGCCUGCCUUUUUAUUUUUCUAAUUAUUUUUUUAUUCUUCUUUCACACACUACAUCUCAACCACAGUUUCUCCUCCUUCCAUCCUUUCCAGGUGCCCCACAUGCCUCUCCUCUCCCCUAGAUCCACUCCUCCAUUUCCCUUCAGAAAACAGAAGGCCUUCCAGGGAUAUGAACCAAACAUGGGAUUGAAAGAUCCUGGCAGAAUGUAAAAGGACAGAAGCCCUGAAAUUGGCAAGAUAGACGUCAGUGUUAGCAGAACUAGCUUCACUGAUUUAGAAAAAUAGAAGUGCACAAUGCUCUGGCCACUCCUUGAACCUGUGUGUCUGCCAAUGUUCUGACCAGGUGUGUGCCCAUUGCUGCACCUUCAUUAGACUCUUUCCUUGUACCCCUCCCAUACCCAUUUCUUGAGAAUAGACAUUGUUUAGAUCUGGAAAUCCCCUAAUCUCCCCCUUCUCCUUUCCCCCCUGAGGGCCUAUAAAAACUGGGAACUCUUUUCCCUCGAGGUCGACUCCUCUACCCCUGCGUGGGAUAUGAGUCGUCCCCAGAGCUCUGGCUUUCCCCGAAUAAAGCCUCAUGUGGUUUGC
This 1996-nucleotide long non-coding RNA is filed under the name Mus musculus (house mouse). Its description in RNAcentral is "RIKEN cDNA 1700034P13 gene". The record is from RNAcentral. Lineage: Eukaryota; Metazoa; Chordata; Mammalia; Rodentia; Muridae.